This is a long non-coding RNA of Papaver somniferum (opium poppy), 1650 nucleotides long. RefSeq lists it as uncharacterized. The record is from RefSeq and is a predicted model, not a curated record. Lineage: Eukaryota; Viridiplantae; Streptophyta; Magnoliopsida; Ranunculales; Papaveraceae. The transcript has 3 exons.
AGCAGUUCGAGCAUUUUCUUUGGUGGAAUUUCAAGCAGCUGCCGAUGUCGUCAUCACCAGUUUCAAUGGUGCCGAGAUGGAGCUCAUGCUAUUCUCCCAAAAUCAGAAGCUGAAGUGAACGAAGAUAACAGAUAGCGCGCCACGGAAUGAUAGCUGAGGUUCAUUAGCCAUUAACAAUCUCGUUACAGAACAGCAGCAACAAUGAGUUUAUGCAUGGCCCGAGUUUGGAGACUACACAGAAGUCGAGAAUGGAUUGGCAAAGUAGCUGGUGAAGAGAGAUCUGUGAAUGCAAAAGAGAGACUGUUCUUGGACUCGGUACUGGCAUGGAUUUGUAAGAAGCCGGUGCUGGAUUAUGUUGGAUUCUCGAACUCAUGGCAGUGGUAGAGCUGUUGCUGCCAGUCGAGAAACUACAGCCAAUGGUGUUUGCUGAUGCCUCAGUCCAUAAUGGAAGAAGUGGAUGGAUGGAAUGUUGAGAAGUCUUGGACAUAGAUGGAGAAGAAUGUGGUGAUAGUCGGUGUUAAGCUGUCGCAGCCGACUGACGUGUAUUAAUUGGAGUUGUUUUGGGGGUUCUCUUCUUAAGUUUUGAAUUUGAAUACUAUUUCUCAACUGAGAAAUGAUUGGCAGCAACAACGAAUGAAAUUAAGAUUGUUGAUGGUCAUAUGGACUUGAAGCUGGUGAUUAUUUGCCAUGGAGUUGAUAUUGUGUCCGGAUUUGGCAGCUGGAGUUUAUGCAGACAUGAAUGGUGAUACAGGCAACAUGGAUUUGGUUGAGCUUCUGUACCAAAGUGGGUGACCGAGAUUGAAAAGGAUCAGCUUGAUAUAUGUUGUUGAUUCUUGUCACGUGUUGUGAUCAAGUUCAUGAUGGAGGAAUUAGAUGGUUGAAACAAUGGUUGAUAUAUAGAAUGGAUUUGCAUGGGCUGUGUGAUCGAUUAGAAGGUGGUGCAGAUAGCUAGCUAUGGGUUACUUUCGAAUGAAUCAAUGGUGUUGGCUGUACUGGUUGUGGGGUUUUGUAGUGGACGAGAGAAGAAGGCAGCAAAGAGCCUCAAUUUGGUUGCUCCCCGGAGGAGGAAGACAGAAGACGGAGUAGCUUCAAUGCUCCAUGCAACUGCAAAGAAUUAGAAGUCGUGUUUACUGUUAACUCGGUUAAGCUAUAGCCGAGUCGGAGGAGGAUGAUUGAUGAGCUGUGCGAUCGUGGGCUUUGGUAAUGGUUUGAAUUAGGGGAACUAGGAAUUACUGGCUAGUUCAGAAAUGAGGGAACCGGUUACUGGCUAGUCCACUCCCAGAAUUGAUUUAUCCGCUGGUCCAAAAACAUGUUUUUGGACCAGAAACUUUAUCCCCUAGUCCAUCCACGUGCGGUUGACACAAGACCAGCUUUCAAAUAUUCCCAACAUACCCUUCUGCAACUCAAAGUGACGAACAUAAAACCAAGUCAGUUUCUUUCCUCUUUUUUUCUUCUCAGAUCGGUUUCUCUCACUUUGCGUUUUGGAUAGAAUCAAUUUCUGGUACUGUUUUUCAAUCAUCUUCAUCUGACCUUCGAAGUAGGUUCUUCUGAGUUUCGAAUUAGGUCAUCUGAGCUUCGAACCAAGGUAUUAGCUUCGAAUUAGGUUUAUCUCAGAUUCGAACAAGGGUUAACAUGUCUGACGUUGCUCCC